GUCCAGACUCCUACGGGAGGCAGCAGUGGGGAAUAUUGCACAAUGGGGGAAACCCUGAUGCAGCGACGCCGCGUGAGUGAAGAAGUAUUUCGGUAUGUAAAGCUCUAUCAGCAGGGAAGAAAAUGACGGUACCUGACUAAGAAGCCCCGGCUAACUACGUGCCAGCAGCCGCGGUAAUACGUAGGGGGCAAGCGUUAUCCGGAUUUACUGGGUGUAAAGGGAGCGUAGACGGCAUGGCAAGUCAGAUGUGAAAGCCCGGGGCUCAACCCCGGGACUGCAUUUGAAACUGUCAGGCUGGAGUGCAGGAGAGGUAAGUGGAAUUCCUAGUGUAGCGGUGAAAUGCGUAGAUAUUAGGAGGAACACCAGUGGCGAAGGCGGCUUACUGGACUGUAACUGACGUUGAGGCUCGAAAGCGUGGGGAGCAAACAGGAUUAGAUACCCGGGUAA
This 447-nucleotide ribosomal RNA is filed under the name uncultured bacterium. Its description in RNAcentral is "bacterial SSU rRNA". It matches the Rfam family "Bacterial small subunit ribosomal RNA", at positions 329 to 793 of the family's 1533-position model. The record is from RNAcentral.